This is a non-coding RNA of Pyrenochaeta sp. MPI-SDFR-AT-0127, 83 nucleotides long. The record is from the annotation of a GenBank genome assembly. NCBI's taxonomy places the organism in Eukaryota, Fungi, Ascomycota, Dothideomycetes, Pleosporales, Cucurbitariaceae.
GGCCUAAUGGCCCAAUGGCAAGGCGCUUGACUACGAUUUAAUGCGAUAUCAAGAGAUUCCAGGUUCGACCCCUGGUUAGGUCA